AUACUCAGGUUUCUCUUCAGGUCAUAUAAAUCUUGCCCUUUUACUAAAGAUUCCAUGGAGAGGAACAAUUAUGACUCUUAAACCAAUUUUUUGAGGCCUCGAGGCU
This is a small nuclear RNA of Oryctolagus cuniculus (rabbit), 106 nucleotides long. Its record names the gene U5. It matches the Rfam family "U5 spliceosomal RNA". Rfam says of the family: U5 RNA is a component of both types of known spliceosome. The record is from Ensembl. Lineage: Eukaryota; Metazoa; Chordata; Mammalia; Lagomorpha; Leporidae.